RNAcentral lists this small RNA (148 nucleotides) under Citrobacter werkmanii. Its description in RNAcentral is "Leucine operon leader". It matches the Rfam family "Leucine operon leader". Rfam says of the family: At least 6 amino acid operons are known to be regulated by attenuation. In each a leader sequence of 150-200 bp is found upstream of the first gene in the operon. This leader sequence can assume two different secondary structures known as the terminator and the anti-terminator structure. Lineage: Bacteria; Pseudomonadati; Pseudomonadota; Gammaproteobacteria; Enterobacterales; Enterobacteriaceae. The record is from RNAcentral.
UGGAGCUUAAUUGAUGACUUACAUUGCUCGUUUCAACGGUCUACUACUACUAAACGCAUCUUCGUUGCGCGGUAGACUGGUGGACGACAUUCAGCAUUAAGUCAGCUCCAGUUAAGACAGAAACCCGCGCCGUUGCGCGGGUUUUUUU